ACAGCAGUACAAAACGAAAUAACUACAUAAUAAGUCAAAGUAUUAGAUCAACAAACAGCCUUAUAAAUAUAUGAUUGAACAAAUUGCUAGAAAUUUAUUGAAUUCAUGAUAACAUCACUAAAAAUUACACGUCUAUAUGCAAGCCUCUAGGAUCUAGAGUUCAAAUUGCAUCACUAUUUUAGAUCACAAAGAUCAUAAGGGGAAAAAGAGGAAGAAGGACA
This 221-nucleotide unclassified non-coding RNA is filed under the name Hevea brasiliensis (rubber tree). Lineage: Eukaryota; Viridiplantae; Streptophyta; Magnoliopsida; Malpighiales; Euphorbiaceae. The record is from RNAcentral.